AAUGCAUUUUUUAAAAUGACUCAUAUAAUCAUGGGAAUAUGGCCCAUAAGUUUCUACCGGAUAACCAUUGCAACUAUCCGACUAUGAGUGAUCGCGUUUUACAU
Molecule: non-coding RNA, 104 nt
Filed under: Paenibacillus sp.
Lineage: Bacteria; Bacillati; Bacillota; Bacilli; Caryophanales; Paenibacillaceae
Description: Guanine sequence
Rfam family: Purine riboswitch aptamer
About the family: Riboswitches are metabolite binding domains within certain messenger RNAs that serve as precision sensors for their corresponding targets.
Source: RNAcentral